RNAcentral lists this ribosomal RNA (465 nucleotides) under Vreelandella stevensii. RNAcentral's name for it is "partial 16S ribosomal RNA". It matches the Rfam family "Bacterial small subunit ribosomal RNA", at positions 338 to 795 of the family's 1533-position model. Lineage: Bacteria; Pseudomonadati; Pseudomonadota; Gammaproteobacteria; Oceanospirillales; Halomonadaceae. The record is from RNAcentral.
CCUACGGGCGGCAGCAGUGGGGAAUAUUGGACAAUGGGGGCAACCCUGAUCCAGCCAUGCCGCGUGUGUGAAGAAGGCCCUCGGGUUGUAAAGCACUUUCAGUGAGGAAGAACGCCUGGUGGUUAAUACCCAUCAGGAAAGACAUCACUCACAGAAGAAGCACCGGCUAACUCCGUGCCAGCAGCCGCGGUAAUACGGAGGGUGCGAGCGUUAAUCGGAAUUACUGGGCGUAAAGCGCGCGUAGGUGGCUUGAUAAGCCGGUUGUGAAAGCCCCGGGCUCAGCCUGGGAACGGCAUCCGGAACUGUCAAGCUAGAGUGCAGGAGAGGAAGGUAGAAUUCCCGGUGUAGCGGUGAAAUGCGUAGAGAUCGGGAGGAAUACCAGUGGCGAAGGCGGCCUUCUGGACUGACACUGACACUGAGGUGCGAAAGCGUGGGUAGCAAACAGGAUUAGAUACCCUAGUAGUC